Molecule: ribosomal RNA, 416 nt
Filed under: Salmonella enterica subsp. enterica serovar Typhimurium
Lineage: Bacteria; Pseudomonadati; Pseudomonadota; Gammaproteobacteria; Enterobacterales; Enterobacteriaceae
Description: bacterial LSU rRNA
Rfam family: Bacterial large subunit ribosomal RNA
Source: RNAcentral
CCGAAUGGGGAAACCCAGUGUGAUUCGUCACACUAUCAUUAACUGAAUCCAUAGGUUAAUGAGGCGAACCGGGGGAACUGAAACAUCUAAGUACCCCGAGGAAAAGAAAUCAACCGAGAUUCCCCCAGUAGCGGCGAGCGAACGGGGAGGAGCCCAGAGCCUGAAUCAGCAUGUGUGUUAGUGGAAGCGUCUGGAAAGGCGCGCGAUACAGGGUGACAGCCCCGUACACAAAAGCGCAUGUGCUGUGAGCUCGAUGAGUAGGGCGGGACACGUGGUAUCCUGUCUGAAUAUGGGGGGACCAUCCUCCAAGGCUAAAUACUCCUGACUGACCGAUAGUGAACCAGUACCGUGAGGGAAAGGCGAAAAGAACCCCGGCGAGGGGAGUGAAAAAGAACCUGAAACCGUGUACGUACAAG